UGCGUAGGCGGGCAGGUAAGUCCGUGGUGAAAUCUCCAAGCUUAACUUGGAAACUGCCGUGGAUACUAUUUGUCUUGAAUAUAGUGGAGGUGAGCGGAAUAUGUCAUGUAGCGGUGAAAUGCUUAGAUAUGACAUAGAACACCCAUUGCGAAGGCAGCUCGCUACACUAUUAUUGACGCUGAGGCACGAAAGCGUGGGGAUCAAACAGGAUUAGAUACCCUGGUAGUCCACGCCCUAAACGAUGAUUACUCGACAUCAGCGAUACACUGUUGGUGUCUGAGCGAAAGCAUUAAGUAAUCCACCUGGGAAGUACGACCGCAAGGUUGAA
This 328-nucleotide ribosomal RNA is filed under the name uncultured bacterium. RNAcentral's name for it is "bacterial SSU rRNA". It matches the Rfam family "Bacterial small subunit ribosomal RNA", at positions 568 to 898 of the family's 1533-position model. The record is from RNAcentral.